RNAcentral lists this ribosomal RNA (253 nucleotides) under uncultured bacterium. RNAcentral's name for it is "partial 16S ribosomal RNA". It matches the Rfam family "Bacterial small subunit ribosomal RNA", at positions 524 to 776 of the family's 1533-position model. The record is from RNAcentral.
UACGUAGGUGGCAAGCGUUGUCCGGAAUUAUUGGGCGUAAAGCGCACGUAGGCGGCUUAGUAAGUUGGAUGUGAAAUCCCUCGGCUUAACCAAGGAAGUGCAUCCAAAACUACUGAGCUUGAGUACUAAAGAGGAUCGCGGAAUUCCCGGUGUAGAGGUGAAAUUCGUAGAUAUCGGGAGGAACACCAGUGGCGAAGGCGGCGAUCUGGGUAGAUACUGACGCUGAGGUGCGAAAGCGUGGGGAGCAAACAGG